Molecule: small nucleolar RNA, 112 nt
Filed under: Exophiala spinifera
Lineage: Eukaryota; Fungi; Ascomycota; Eurotiomycetes; Chaetothyriales; Herpotrichiellaceae
Description: A. fumigatus snoRNA Afu_304
Rfam family: A. fumigatus snoRNA Afu_304
Source: Rfam by way of RNAcentral
UAUCAUGAUGAACAAGAGCCAUGUGCUCGAUAUAAUCCCAGCUCGUCGACAGCAGCCUCAUUUACAAAUCUCACGUUAGAGGCUGUUAUGAGAGGAAGUCCAACUCUGACAU